Molecule: ribosomal RNA, 433 nt
Filed under: uncultured bacterium
Lineage: Bacteria
Description: bacterial SSU rRNA
Rfam family: Bacterial small subunit ribosomal RNA
Source: RNAcentral
AACGAACGCUGGCGGCAGGCCUAACACAUGCAAGUCGAACGCCCCGCAAGGGGAGUGGCAGACGGGUGAGUAACACGUGGGAACCUUCCCUAUAGUACGGAAUAGCCCAGGGAAACUUGGAGUAAUACCGUAUACGCCCGAGAGGGGAAAGAAUUUCGCUAUAGGAUGGGCCCGCGUAGGAUUAGCUAGUUGGUGAGGUAACGGCUCACCAAGGCGACGAUCCUUAGCUGGUUUGAGAGAACGACCAGCCACACUGGGACUGAGACACGGCCCAGACUCCUACGGGAGGCAGCAGUGGGGAAUAUUGGACAAUGGGCGCAAGCCUGAUCCAGCCAUGCCGCGUGAGUGAUGAAGGCCUUAGGGUUGUAAAGCUCUUUUGCCGGGGACGAUAACUGACGGUUACCCGGAGAAUAAGUCCCGGCGUAACUUCGUG